RNAcentral lists this ribosomal RNA (1402 nucleotides) under Bacillus siamensis. RNAcentral describes it as "bacterial SSU rRNA". It matches the Rfam family "Bacterial small subunit ribosomal RNA". The record is from RNAcentral. Lineage: Bacteria; Bacillati; Bacillota; Bacilli; Caryophanales; Bacillaceae.
CCUGGAUGUUAGCGGCGGACGGGUGAGUAACACGUGGGUAACCUGCCUGUAAGACUGGGAUAACUCCGGGAAACCGGGGCUAAUACCGGAUGGUUGUUUGAACCGCAUGGUUCAGACAUAAAAGGUGGCUUCGGCUACCACUUACAGAUGGACCCGCGGCGCAUUAGCUAGUUGGUGAGGUAACGGCUCACCAAGGCGACGAUGCGUAGCCGACCUGAGAGGGUGAUCGGCCACACUGGGACUGAGACACGGCCCAGACUCCUACGGGAGGCAGCAGUAGGGAAUCUUCCGCAAUGGACGAAAGUCUGACGGAGCAACGCCGCGUGAGUGAUGAAGGUUUUCGGAUCGUAAAGCUCUGUUGUUAGGGAAGAACAAGUGCCGUUCAAAUAGGGCGGCACCUUGACGGUACCUAACCAGAAAGCCACGGCUAACUACGUGCCAGCAGCCGCGGUAAUACGUAGGUGGCAAGCGUUGUCCGGAAUUAUUGGGCGUAAAGGGCUCGCAGGCGGUUUCUUAAGUCUGAUGUGAAAGCCCCCGGCUCAACCGGGGAGGGUCAUUGGAAACUGGGGAACUUGAGUGCAGAAGAGGAGAGUGGAAUUCCACGUGUAGCGGUGAAAUGCGUAGAGAUGUGGAGGAACACCAGUGGCGAAGGCGACUCUCUGGUCUGUAACUGACGCUGAGGAGCGAAAGCGUGGGGAGCGAACAGGAUUAGAUACCCUGGUAGUCCACGCCGUAAACGAUGAGUGCUAAGUGUUAGGGGGUUUCCGCCCCUUAGUGCUGCAGCUAACGCAUUAAGCACUCCGCCUGGGGAGUACGGUCGCAAGACUGAAACUCAAAGGAAUUGACGGGGGCCCGCACAAGCGGUGGAGCAUGUGGUUUAAUUCGAAGCAACGCGAAGAACCUUACCAGGUCUUGACAUCCUCUGACAAUCCUAGAGAUAGGACGUCCCCUUCGGGGGCAGAGUGACAGGUGGUGCAUGGUUGUCGUCAGCUCGUGUCGUGAGAUGUUGGGUUAAGUCCCGCAACGAGCGCAACCCUUGAUCUUAGUUGCCAGCAUUCAGUUGGGCACUCUAAGGUGACUGCCGGUGACAAACCGGAGGAAGGUGGGGAUGACGUCAAAUCAUCAUGCCCCUUAUGACCUGGGCUACACACGUGCUACAAUGGACAGAACAAAGGGCAGCGAAACCGCGAGGUUAAGCCAAUCCCACAAAUCUGUUCUCAGUUCGGAUCGCAGUCUGCAACUCGACUGCGUGAAGCUGGAAUCGCUAGUAAUCGCGGAUCAGCAUGCCGCGGUGAAUACGUUACCGGUCCAGGUUCACCCCGGCUCACUCAGUCGUGACAAGGUAACCAUAGAGUUUGAUCCUGGCUCAGUAAGUCGUAACAAGGUAACCAUAGAGGAGCCG